Non-coding RNA from Xyrichtys novacula (pearly razorfish), 299 nucleotides. The record is from the annotation of a GenBank genome assembly. Lineage: Eukaryota; Metazoa; Chordata; Actinopteri; Labriformes; Labridae.
UUCAAGUGUCUCGGGAUCUUGUUCAAGAGUGAGGGUAGGAUGGAGCGGGAGAUUGACAGGCGGAUCGGAGCGGCGUCAGCAGUGAUGCGGACGCUUAACCGAUCAGUGGUGGUGAAGAAAGAGCUGAGCCGUAAGGAGAGACUCUGGAUUUACCGGUCGAUCUACGUGCCGAUCCUCACCUAUGGUCAUGAACUUUGGGUAAUGACCGAAAGAACAAGAUCGCAGAUACAAGCGGCUGAAAUGGGUUUCCUCCUCAGGGUGUCCGGGCUCAGCCUUAGAGAUAGGGUAAGGAGCUCGGA